Molecule: ribosomal RNA, 402 nt
Filed under: uncultured prokaryote
Description: bacterial SSU rRNA
Rfam family: Bacterial small subunit ribosomal RNA
Source: RNAcentral
UAGGGAAUAUUAGGAAUGGACGAAAGUCUGAUCUAGCAACACCGCGUGUGCGAAGAAGGCCUUCGGGUUGUAAAGCACUUUUUGGAAGGAUUAGGAAGGAAUGUACUUCCAGAAUAAGUCUCGGCUAACUACGUGCCGGCAGCCGCGGUAACACGUAGGAGGCAAACGUUAUCCGGAUUUACUGGGCGUAAAGCGCGUGUAGGUGGUUCUGUAAGUAGGGCGUGAAAGCUCCUGGCUCAACUGGGAGAGGCCGUUCUAAACUGCAGAGCUAGAGGAUGGUAGAGGGAGGUGGAAUUCCCGGUGUAGCGGUGGAAUGCGCAGAUAUCCGGAGGAACACCAGUGGCGAAAGCGGCCUCCUGGACCAUUCCUGACACUCAGACGCGAAAGCUAGGGUAGCAAACG